RNAcentral lists this ribosomal RNA (447 nucleotides) under uncultured bacterium. Its description in RNAcentral is "bacterial SSU rRNA". It matches the Rfam family "Bacterial small subunit ribosomal RNA", at positions 329 to 793 of the family's 1533-position model. The record is from RNAcentral.
AUCCAGACUCCUACGGGAGGCAGCAGUGGGGAAUAUUGCACAAUGGGGGAAACCCUGAUGCAGCGACGCCGCGUGAGUGAAGAAGUAUCUCGGUACGUAAAGCUCUAUCAGCAGGGAAGAAAAUGACGGUACCUGACUAAGAAGCCCCGGCUAACUACGUGCCAGCAGCCGCGGUAAUACGUAGGGGGCAAGCGUUAUCCGGAUUUACUGGGUGUAAAGGGAGCGUAGACGGCAGCGCAAGUCUGGAGUGAAAUCCCAUGGCUUAACCAUGGAACUGCUUUGGAAACUGUGCAGCUAGAGUGCAGGAGAGGUAAGCGGAAUUCCUAGUGUAGCGGUGAAAUGCGUAGAUAUUAGGAGGAACACCAGUGGCGAAGGCGGCUUGCUGGGUCGAUACUGACAUUGAGGCACGAAAGCGUGGGGAGCAAACAGGAUUAGAUACCCUGGUAU